RNAcentral lists this non-coding RNA (102 nucleotides) under Acholeplasma oculi. RNAcentral describes it as "THF-I sequence". It matches the Rfam family "THF (Tetrahydrofolate) riboswitch aptamer". Rfam says of the family: THF riboswitch presents a pseudoknot that joins P1-P2 and the loop of P3 and two THF binding. The record is from Rfam by way of RNAcentral. Lineage: Bacteria; Bacillati; Mycoplasmatota; Mollicutes; Acholeplasmatales; Acholeplasmataceae.
AAAUAAAUAGGAAAUAUGCGUGAAGUGUCAAUUCUAAAACGGAUUACGGAAUUGAACGAACAAAUUAUAUGAUUUGGCGGUAUAUUUUCUAGAUCCCUAUUU